This 468-nucleotide ribosomal RNA is filed under the name uncultured bacterium. RNAcentral's name for it is "partial 16S ribosomal RNA". It matches the Rfam family "Bacterial small subunit ribosomal RNA", at positions 28 to 507 of the family's 1533-position model. The record is from RNAcentral.
GACGAACGCUGGCGGCGUGCUUAACACAUGCAAGUCGAACGGAAAGGCCCUGCUUUUGUGGGGUGCUCGAGUGGCGAACGGGUGAGUAACACGUGAGUAACCUGCCCUUGACUUUGGGAUAACUUCAGGAAACUGGGGCUAAUACCGGAUAGGAGCUCCUGCUGCAUGGUGGGGGUUGGAAAGUUUCGGCGGUUGGGGAUGGACUCGCGGCUUGUUAGCUUGUUGGUGGGGUAGUGGCUUACCAAGGCUUUGACGGGUAGCCGGCCUGAGAGGGUGACCGGCCACAUUGGGACUAGAAUACGGCCCAGACUCCUACGGGGGGCAGCAGUGGGGAAUAUUGCACAAUGGGCGGAAGCCUGAUGCAGCAACGCCGCGUGCGGGAUGACGGCCUUCGGGUUGUAUACCGCUUUCGCCUGUGACGAAGCGUGAGUGACGGUAAUGGGUAAAGAAGCACCGGCUAACUACGUG